RNAcentral lists this long non-coding RNA (2735 nucleotides) under Salmo salar (Atlantic salmon). RNAcentral describes it as "lncRNA (ENSSSAG00000089901.1)". Lineage: Eukaryota; Metazoa; Chordata; Actinopteri; Salmoniformes; Salmonidae. The record is from RNAcentral.
UCUAAAACUGUUUGAAUGAUGUCUGUGAGUAUAACAGAACUCAUAUGGCAAGCAAAAACCUGAGAGAAAUCCUACCAGGAAGUGGAAAUCUGGAUGCAUGGGCUCUCUUCAAGUCGUUUCCUAUUGAACACACAGUGACGUAGUAAUAAUUGUGCACUUCCUACGGCUUCCACUGGAUGUCAACAGUCUUUACAAAGUUGUUUGAGGCGUCUAUGACGAACAGAGACCGAAUGAGAAGGUGGGGAAGUUGGUCACCCAGGGAAUGACAUCACUUCAUUGGUGCGCGUUCACGAGGGUGGAUCCUCUGUUACAAAACGUUUUUCAAGACACAGGAACCGUCCGGUUGAAAUAUUACUGAAUCUUCACGUUCUAAAGGCCCUAAAGAUUGAUGUUUUACAACGUUUGACAUGUUUGAACGAACGUAAAUACAACUUUUUUUUACUUUUCGUCGUGACAUUGUCCGCGCGCUUCCUACAUUUGGAGUAGCUGAACUGAACGUGCGAACAACAAGGAGUUAUUUGGACAUAAAUUAUGAACUUUAUCGAACAAAACAACAUUUAUUGUGGACCUGGUAUUCCUGGAAGUGCCUUCUGAUGAAGAUCAUCAAAGGAAUUGGUGCUUGGAGUUCGUCAGUCCUCAAGUGUGGACCAAUAACGCUAGCUUGGUGUGCAACAACCGGUGGUGGACCUGAGCCCUAGGACCAUGCCUCAGGACUACCUGGCUUGAUGACUCCUUGCUGUCCCCAGUUCACCUGGCCGUGCUGCUGCUCCAGUUCCAACUGUUCUGCCUGCAGCUAUGGAACCCUGACCUGUUCACCGGACGUGCUACCUGUCCCAGACCUGUUGUCCCAGACCUGCUGGAACCCUGACCUAUUCACUGGACGUGCUACCUGUCCCAGACCUGCUGUUUUUAACUCUCUAGAGACAGCAGGAGCGGUAGAGAUACUCUCAAAGAUCGGCUAUGAAAAAGCCAACUGACACUUACUCCUGUGUUACUGACUUGUUGCACCCUCGACAACUACUAUGAUUAUUAUUAUUUGACAAUGCUGGUCAUUUAUGAACAUUUGAACAUUUGAACAUCUAGGCCAUGUGCUGUUAUAAUCUCCACCCGGCACAGCCAGAAGAGGACUGGCCACCCCUCAUAGCCUGGUUCCUCUCUAGGUUUCUUCCUAGGUUUUGGCCUUUCUAGGGAGUUUUUCCUAGCCACCGUGCUUCUACACCUGCAUUGCUUGCUGUUUGGGGUUUUAGGCUGGGUUUCUGUACAGCACUUUGAGAUAUCAACUGUUGUAAGAAGGGCUAUAUAAAUAAAUUUGAUUUGAUUUGAGGUACCCUUUAAAUAAGAAGAAUUAGGCUCCAACACAGAGCCCUCUCCUUAUAAAGUCGAAUUAAAACAAAGAAAGUUUAAAUGAAUCAGGUGUUCUACAAUUAGUCUACUUUUAGCAAUCAUGCACUGUCCAUCUCCGAUGGAUUGUGCCGGGGCUGCUGCUUCAAUGUAGCCAAAUGUAAAUUAUCUGGCUUAUUGUGAGAUCAAUAACUAUGAUAAAUAGCUUCACCAUGGGAAACGAAACAUAUUGUUUUAAUUUUUAAAAACUAUAGCAGUAGCUAACUAUCAGUUUACCUUCUCAUCUUCACGCGUGCCGUCUCAAACUGAACAGGACAUCAGAUUACCGCUUGCACAGAUAUAUUGCAUUUUUUUUACAAAUCAAAAUGCUUCUCUGAGCAUGCACUUCGUAUAGCCUAGGCCUAUAGCCUAGUAUAGGCUAUGGAUCAUUUGAUUAAGACCACACUAAAUAUAGGCGCACUUGAUAUUGUGCGCCCAGCAGAGAAUCAGGGAUGAGUGGCAGCAUCGGGCACAUAUUGAGCUAUAACUAGUGUUGGGGUAUGUUCCUUGUUCCUUGUCAAUCAUUGGCUUGUUGGUGAAAUCAGCAAUCAGACAAUAUCUUCUUUAAGUAAAUCAAUCAAACCUUUAUUCAUGCAAUUGCAGACAGAAGUUGACAAUGGAAACAUAGCACGCGUGUUUCAGAGUAAGUUCUGCAAAAUAAAAAAGGUCAAAGUUACUUUAAUAUGCUGCCAGUCAACCCCUAGUGAUGUAACUGCCUAUGUCAACAUCUUCUACUCAUGAGAACAAGCCCAUGCAUAUACAGUUAUACAAACUGCAGGAGAAAACAGUAGUCCAGUGUGUUCUAAGUGCUCAGCAGUAAUUUUCCAUUCCCGUGUAGCUUACAGUGGUAUGUCUGACUUGUCUCUUAUCUCUUUACUCCCCUGCAGGGUUCUGUGUUUAUGUAUCUCUUUUAGCCUUGAGACGCUUUCUCACAGACAACCUGUUUUGACUGCAAUAGCUCACACAUCUCUCAGACCGUUUCUUAUAAGAGGCAGAGACUAGAAAAGAACUGUGGAACAGUAUUAAAGUUUAUAAUGCAUAUAUUGCUAAUCUGUGGUCCAGGACCCUAUAAAUGUAGUGGGGGAGGGUCUUAUAGCCCUUCCCCUUCUAUUAAUACAACAUAAGCAUAAUCAAUUAUUAUAAUACAUCAAUCAUUUGGUGCAGCCCCUAUCAUGACCCCAAGGUGACCCCCAUCACUAGCAACUAAUUCUAAAACACUGAGCAAUACUGAAAUUGAAAAAGCAUGGCUCUCCUGUUUUUUUCUGGGUCACAGUUCCAAAAAUGGCUUAACAUUUUUUUAUAGACCUACAGUGUAUUGCAUUGGGUGCUAUGGAACAGGGCUGGGAAUUGCCAGG